RNAcentral lists this ribosomal RNA (321 nucleotides) under uncultured Pseudomonadota bacterium. RNAcentral describes it as "bacterial SSU rRNA". It matches the Rfam family "Bacterial small subunit ribosomal RNA", at positions 28 to 351 of the family's 1533-position model. Lineage: Bacteria; Pseudomonadati; Pseudomonadota. The record is from RNAcentral.
GACGAACGCUGGCGGCGUGCUUAACACAUGCAAGUCAAGGAGAAAGUUCCUUUCGGGGAAUGUGUAAACUGGCGCACGGGUGAGUAAUGUAUCGGAACGUACCUUUCAGUGGGGGAUAACGCAGCGAAAGUUGCGCUAAUACCGCAUAUUCUGUGAGCAGGAAAGCAGGGGAUCGCAAGACCUUGCGCUGAUUGAGCGGCCGAUAUCAGAUUAGCUAGUUGGUGAGGUAAAGGCUCACCAAGGCGACGAUCUGUAGCGGGUCUGAGAGGAUGAUCCGCCACACUGGAACUGACACACGGUCCAGACUCCUACGGGAGGCAG